Molecule: ribosomal RNA, 484 nt
Filed under: uncultured bacterium
Lineage: Bacteria
Description: partial 16S ribosomal RNA
Rfam family: Bacterial small subunit ribosomal RNA
Source: RNAcentral
AUUGAACGCUGGCGGCAUGCUUUACACAUGCAAGUCGAGCGGCAGCACGGGGGCAACCCUGGUGGCGAGCGGCGAACGGGUGAGUAAUACAUCGGAACAUGCCCAGUCGUGGGGGAUAACACUUCGAAAGAAGUGCUAAUACCGCAUACGUCCUGAGGGGGAAAGCGGGGGAUCGCAAGACCUCGCGCGAUUGGAGUGGCCGAUGUCAGAUUAGCUAGUUGGUGGGGUAAAGGCCUACCAAGGCAACGAUCUGUAGCUGGUCUGAGAGGAUGAUCAGCCACACUGGGACUGAGACACGGCCCAGACUCCUACGGGAGGCAGCAGUGGGGAAUUUUGGACAAUGGGGGCAACCCCGAUCCAGCCAUUCCGCGUGAGUGAAGAAGGCCUUCGGGUUGUAAAGCUCUUUCGGCAGGAACGAAACGGUGAGCUCUAACAUAGCUUGCUAAUGACGGUACCUGAAGAAGAAGCACCGGCUAACUACGUG